GGCAAGGCCAUCUUAAGUGCAUAUUCUUGUUGCCCAUGUGUUUUAAAGGUAGACUAUGUAACAUAUUUACCGGUUUAUUUUCAGAAUUCGUGCUGCUCAUUCACAAAUGAGUACUUACCACCACCAUCAAAUUCUAAGUAUUAUGACUGGGAAAAUGACACUUUUCAUACAUGAAAAGCUGGCUCUUCAUGUCUGCCAUUUUGCUUUUCCAGUAAUAUACAUUUUUAGCUGCAAAACAUCUUGUAUUUUGGUCAUACUAGUAAAUUAGUUUAUUACUUCAUGUUCAUGAGAAGAUCUAAUUUGGGAAUGGGCAGCACAGUUGCAAUGAGCAGCACAGCUGCAAUACCUACUCUGACCACAAUCCUACAUGGUGCACCUACAAGACUUGUCAUGCUCGCUUUCACUUGUUGAGGAUCACAAAAAUGCCUUGGAGUCAGAUGUCACCCACUAUAUGUUCCCAUCAUGUAUGUAGCUUUGGUGUAAUUAAUUUGAAGGACUAUGUGGAGACGCCUACUCCAGUCACACAAUUAAUACAUACAUUAGAUGUUUGAGGACAGCAUGUACAUGACAGACUACCUGUCUCUUUUGUGAAAUGUUUUAAAGUGAAUUUACGGUUUUAUUACUUUUCGGGUAUGGGGUAGAACUUCACUAUUCCUGACUGAUUUAUUUGCUUGUGUAUCCCAUACAGUUUGGUUUGGCAGUCUGGCCUGUCAUAGUCUGUCCAUAUUCCUGUCUGGCUGACAUCCUCAUCUGACUGGUGAACGUAAAUUAUCAUCAUCGGGAGAGACUUGCUUCGAUUAAAAUAUGCAGAUGCCAAUGAUGUUGAGGGUUGUUGAUGAGGGAGACUACCGUAGGCUUGAACUAGACCCAGUGCCAACAAAUCUGACCAAGCUGUAUGACACAAUUCGACAAGCAUUUGGGAUAUCUAGAGAUUUUCGUAUUCAAUUC
Neoarius graeffei (lesser salmon catfish) is the source of this 948-nucleotide long non-coding RNA. RefSeq lists it as uncharacterized. The record is from RefSeq and is a predicted model, not a curated record. NCBI's taxonomy places the organism in Eukaryota, Metazoa, Chordata, Actinopteri, Siluriformes, Ariidae. The transcript is spliced from 3 exons.